AUUGAACGCUGGCGGCAGGCCUGACACAUGCAAGUCGAACGGUAGCACAGGGGAGCUUGCUCCUCGGGUGACGAGUGGCGGACGGGUGAGUAAUGUCUGGGGAUCUGCCCGAUGGAGGGGGAUAACUACUGGAAACGGUAGCUAAUACCGCAUGACGUCUUCGGACCAAAGUGGGGGACCUUCGGGCCUCACGCCAUCAGAUGUGCCCAGAUGGGAUUAGCUAGUAGGUGGGGUAAUGGCUCACCUAGGCGACGAUCUCUAGCUGGUCUGAGAGGAUGACCAGCCACACUGGAACUGAGACACGGUCCAGACUCCUACGGGAGGCAGCAGUGGGGAAUAUUGCACAAUGGGCGCAAGCCUGAUGCAGCCAUGCCGCGUGUAUGAAGAAGGCCUUCGGGUUGUAAAGUACUUUCAGCGAGGAGGAAGGCAUUAAGGUUAAUAACCUUGGUGAUUGACGUUACUCGCAGAAGAAGCACCGGCUAACUCCGUGCCAGCCGCCGCCGUAAAAC
This 509-nucleotide ribosomal RNA is filed under the name uncultured bacterium. RNAcentral's name for it is "bacterial SSU rRNA". It matches the Rfam family "Bacterial small subunit ribosomal RNA", at positions 30 to 526 of the family's 1533-position model. The record is from RNAcentral.